AGACUGAAGCCACCACUCUAUCUGCACAGAUCACAGUUCUUCAGAGAGACACUUCUGGAAUAGCUGCUGAAAACAAAGAACUCAAAUUUCGGUUGCAAGCUUUGGAACAACAAGCACAUCUUAGAGAUGCUCUAAAUGAAACUUUGAGGGAAGAAGUGCAGCGGCUUAAGAUUGAAGCAGGCCAAAUUCCAGCUGCGAAUGGAAAUAGAGGAACACGUUUUCAUUUACCUCCCCAACCACAGCCCUUUGUUCAAUGUGGUAACCACCAUCCACAACACCAGCAGCAGCACAUUCCGCGUUCGACUGCAAGUAACCAAACUGUCCCUGGACAGUCUCAAUCUAGCUUCUUCAACUUCAACAACAGGGCUUGAAAGUCUCAAAGGUGAACUGGUCUGGUUAGUAAUUUAUCAAAGUAGAUGACCUUGUAAAUAUUGAUAUGUAGAAUCUGUGUAGAUUGUCAAAAGGUUAUUGAAUGAGUGUUGUUCAGCUCAAUAGCUUGUAACUUACCAAGUAUUUAACAAUAUGAAUGACUGAUUCAUUAAUGUGGGAUGCCUAA
Nicotiana tabacum (common tobacco) is the source of this 556-nucleotide non-coding RNA. The record is from RefSeq and is a predicted model, not a curated record. Lineage: Eukaryota; Viridiplantae; Streptophyta; Magnoliopsida; Solanales; Solanaceae.